UCCUGCCCGGGGGAGGCUUCCCAGGAGUGUGAGGGAUUUACAGUCACCUCCUGUGGCUCCCCAUCCCCUGCAGAGUCGCCCUGAAGGCCAUGUUCGGUGGCAGGCUGCAGACAGCUCUGCUGGUGGCUGGCUACUUUGUCUACCUGCUGGUGGGUGCUGCCGUGUUCCAGGCCCUGGAGAGGACUGCCGAGAAGCAGGAGAAAAUGGCAGCUGCCCAGAUGAAGGAGGCUUUUCUGCAGAACUUCACGCAGCUCACGGUGGCGGAGAUGGAGCAGUUCAUGAAGAACCUGAUUGAAGCCAUUCAAAAUGGAGUAUACCCUGUUGGAAAUGAGUCACAGUUUGAAGAGAGCAACUGGGAUUUCAGCAACUCCUUCUUCUUUGCAGGCACAGUUGUCUCCACAAUAGGCUAUGGCACAUUACAUCCUAAAACUGCUGGGGGACAGAUAUUUUGUGUGUUUUUUGCUCUUUUUGGAAUCCCUCUGAACAUUGUUUUUCUGCACCGUGUCGGUAAGAUGCUCUCACUGCUCUGUAAAAAGCUGGGGAAAUUCCUGUACGAGAAAGGAAUGAGAAAGAAGAAGAUCAAAUUUCUGACCCUUUUGUUCUUCCUGGCAACGGGGAUCCUGGUUUUUCUGUGCUUGCCAUCAGUCUUCUUCCAGAUAACAGAGGGCUGGUCCUACAGUGAAGGAAUUUACUUUGCAUUUAUCACCCUCAGCACCAUUGGCUUCGGAGAUUAUGUUGUAGGCAAACAGUCUGACAGGAAAUACUUUUCCUACUAUCGAGUGCUUGUGGCCAUUUGGAUUCUCUUUGGCCUUGCCUGGAUUGCUCUGCUGUUUAAUUUAUUGACAACAGUACUAGAAGAUACUGAAAAAAUAAUUGUCAAGGAUCUCCAGCAAAUUGGAAAGUGCACAUUCCUGUGUCCCAUCCAGCUGAUGAGCUGAGAAAUGGAGCAAUCAGCCCUGUAGAAAGGAUCUGAGAGCAUUGGCACAGGUGUUCCCAGAGAAAGAAGACAAUAUGCCCUCAAGUCUCUGUAGUAAGGGUUUGGAUCUAAGCCACUGAAGACCAGCAUGUGAGGCCUAAUCCCGUAAAAACAGUCAGUGUUUGGAUGGGAAACAUGUCACUGAUCUGGAGCCAGGUGGGUGCAGACUUCUGUGGGAGGAUGAGUCAAGAGAGCUCUGGCACCAUCUGCAAAAGGACCUGAUGCUGUGGGAGAGAGCUCAGCAAGUGUAAAAACCCAUGAGGAAGCAGUGAUGGUCCAAAGAAAAGCCCACAAUUGCCCUGGUUGUCCUUGGAGCAUUCUGGAAAUCACUGCAAGACCAACUUGAAGGGAAACUUGAAAUGUUUCCCUUCCACCUCUGAGCCAUGAGACAGGGAUGGUCUGUUCCUCACUCGGCUUUUCUGGAGGAACUCCAGCCUUGAGCACAGCACUGACAGCUGGCAGGGUGCCACUGGCUUUGCCAGAUCUGACCACAGCUGGUCCCUGAUGCAAUAAAAUGUUGAAUCACCAGAAUCUGAGAAUGUGAUUGUCUGGAGGGUCACCAAGAAAAAUCAGCAAAGACUUGCUGGCACCUUGCAAUGCAUUUGCCUGUUCCAGGCUCUGUGGAAACCUCACCUGUCAAAUGUCCUCCAAACUGGGCUCAGAUGCUCAAAUUUGCCAGUGGAGAAAAGCAUUUCUGAUAACGCUGCCCAACCUAAGCUUGCAAAGAAACCUCAAGUAGAGAGAGCCUCAUAAUGAAUAAAGGUUUGUCUCACAAAAUUCCCAUGCCCCAAGGGGGUGCAACCCACUCACCCAAAACCAAGAGCAAAUGUGUGACAGAAAGGAUGCAUUGGGAUACUGGGAGCAAUUCAGCAUCCAUGAUGGUUCAUGAGUGACCCAUCAGCUCUGCCAGCCACUGGAAUGGGGUUUUUUUGCUUCCCCUCCAUCUGCCAGCUCAACAAGACAUCUCCACAGUGAUCCACACAUAUCCUGAGAUACCUUCAAACAGGCUUCCCUGUCACUGCAGCCCAACACAGUUUCCAUAAAGUAUAGGAGGACCUGAAGGGCUUGAGCAAGAUCAGUUUCACUGGUUGCUCAGAAAAAAGCUGUGGC
This is a non-coding RNA of Zonotrichia albicollis (white-throated sparrow), 2086 nucleotides long. NCBI's taxonomy places the organism in Eukaryota, Metazoa, Chordata, Aves, Passeriformes, Passerellidae. The record is from RefSeq and is a predicted model, not a curated record.